UUUAGAAUACCUUUCUUCUUAGGAGUACGAGGGGGACCCCAAGAAGUAGAUGGCUGUGAGGAAGAAGGCUCUAUAGAAGGACCAUGAGAUGAAGAUGGUGCAUGUGAAGGUGAUGAGGACACCACGAGUACAUCUACACCAGCAGCACCUCAGGCGCCUCCAGUUGCUCCUCCAGUUGGGCCAAUCACUCGAGCCCGUGCGAGAGAAUUAAACUUCAUCAUGCUGUUAAGGAACGAAGGCCCAUCGGAAUAAGAAGAUGGCCCAACAGGGCAGCCCAGGUGGGGCGCCUAGGGUUGGGCGCCGUGACCCCUUCGGACUCCAGGGGCUGCGCCCCCUUUAUUUAGUCCGAGUCCUUUUUGUUUACGACUUGAGUUUUGUUUUACAUCUAGCUUUAGCUACUCUUGAACACGCGCAAAUACGCGCUGUCCUUGUGAUUCAGAACUCCACCUUCGAGUGAUAUUUAGAUUGCUCGCCUCUCUUUCUUGUUCGUUCUUCGAUUGCGGACAGGAAUCGAUCUUCGUGAUCAGGCUGAUCUCGCACCAGCGAGGUUGGUAACCAUCGGGAGUUGGUUCAGCGAUUGCAUUGGCGCUUCGGGUUCGCUCGUCGUAGUCGGAUCGUGAGGGUCUACUUCCACCAAGUCGAAUUUAUCUUCACUCACCGAAAGAUCGGGCACUCCGACUCUAUCAAGUGGUAUCAGCUUUCCAGGUUGAUCGGUGAGUUUUACCGAGUGUUUUUCCCUUCCUACAGUCCACAAAAACCAAAACAAAUUUUUUUCAGGUUAGAUCCUUUGUCCCAGCAACCGUUUAGCCUCGCACAUUCUUUCAAUAAGUGUCUUUGUUGAAUUUGUGUGCCUACUCGUUCAAUUGUUGCUGGUUACUUGUGUUUAAUCUGUUGUUUCUCGUUUUUUCAUCUAACCCUAGUUUUCGCCGCCGCCGCCUUUCCGCUGCUCGCCAACCCUACCAGCCGCGCCCACCGCACCUCCCUGCGACAACCGCGCCGCGCCAUCCCACUACUCCGAUCGCCCCUCCCCUGUCAAAAAAAAAAAAGAUCGAAAGCAAUCAGAAAAAAAAAAGGAAAGUGCAAAAAAAAAAAAGGAAAGAAGCAAAAAAAAAAAAAAAGACGAAGAAGAAUCCAACAGGGAGAAGGAAGGUGAUUCGGAUUUGUUUCGGUGGAAACUCUUUUUGCGCGCGCCGUGACUCCCCCUGGGUCACGACUCUCUGGGGUAAAUUCCCCCCCCCCCCACGCAUUCCGUGCCAGCCUUUCAUAUCCGUAUCUCUCUUUCUUGGUCCUUUAUUAUUCUGAGGUCCGCCUUACUCUAGAGAGAGAGAGAGAGAGAGAGUAUCUUUUUUUUACCGGAAUACCCCUGUACUUUCGGAAAAAGUGUGUGCCGCAUUUUGAUAUUUGAGAUCCUCUGUGUUCAUAUUAUCAGUUUUGGGGCACCCUCUGUGAAAAAAAAAAAAAAAAAAAACAGAAAUAAAAAAAAAAAAAGAGGUGCGCCCUCUCCACCUUGCCUCUGUUCUUUCGAUUUUUCCUUGUUACCAGCAACUCUUGUUACGUGUUUGGCACUAUCUUUCAACUUUGCAUUAUUGUUUGAUUGUGCUAAUCCUUCAUUUGAGUGCAGCCUUCCCAGAACUCCACAUAGUUCUACGACGAGCAUAUUUUGUUUCUCCAGGCAAUCGCUCCUCCAAUCUUUCGUGAGUUCCACCGGUUGGUUGCAGUUCGCCCCUGUGUGCGUGGUAAGAACGGAUAAGAAUUUGAUAACAGCACUAGUGUGAGCGCCUUGUGAGCUGUUACACCCCUAUUUUGUCGUUGCUUUUGUUCUUGUCUUUGCGCUAACCAUGGCAGAUGAUGUCGACGCGGGGGCUAACCAGCUGCAGGGCAUACGAGCGCAAGUUGAAGGGCUUGUUACCGACAUUCAGACGAUUCAUGAACGGCUGGACUCGACGAUCUCCUCGACGACCGAGCGGUGUGAUCAGCUCGACCUUGCACAGACGGCCGCUAAGGCCACACUCGAUUCAGUUGUGGCAAGACUCGAUGCAUUGCACACAACAGUCGCAGAGUUGCAGCAGGGUUAUGGUGGUGACUCGGACCAGGAUGAUGGCGACCGCCGAGGCCGUGCCCGCCGCGUGCCACGCCGUCCCGGUGGUAAUGAUUCCUUUUCCAAGAUUAAAUUUAAAAUUCCACCUUUUAAUGGCAAAUAUGAUCCUGCUGCCUAUCUUGAUUGGGAAUUAGAAGUUGAACAGAAAUUUUCAUGCCAUGAUAUUCUUGCUAAUUCUCAAGUUAAAGCUGCUAUUAGUGAAUUUACUGAUUUUGCUUUAAUUUGGUGGCGUGAAUAUAAACACAAACAUCCCAAUACCAUUCCAACCACUUGGGAGCAAUUAAAAACUGCUAUGCGCCACAGAUUUGUGCCUUCUUAUUAUGCUCGCGAUUUGCUUAAUAAAAUGCAACGUUUUCAGCAAGGUUCCAAAUCUGUUGAGGAAUAUUUCCAGGAAUUACAAAUAGGAAUGAUUCGUUGUGGGUUAUUGGAGGAAACCGACGCUGCUAUGGCCCGUUUUCGUGGUGGUUUGAACCGCGAAAUUCAGGAUAUACUUGAUUAUAAGGACUACACAGAUAUGACAACAUUAUUUGAAUAUGCUUGCAAAGCUGAACGUGAAGUGCAGGGACGCCGCUCGAAGACAUAUUCUAACUCUUUUGCAGGAAGACGCUCGCCAUCCAACUCCGCACCCGCUCUCCCUGCGCCACCCACGCCCACCACUACACCGCGCGAGCGAACGGCAAAACCUGCAAGCGCUGCCCCUUCCACAGGCGCCGCCCCUCCCACAGGCCGUACACGGGAUAUUCAGUGUCAUCGUUGCAAAGGAUUCGGCCAUGUGAUUCGGGACUGUCCGAACAAGCGCACUUUGCUUCUUCGUGACGAUGGUGAGUACUCUUCCGCUAGUGAUUCUGAAGAUAUUCGACAUGCGAUGCUUGCCACUGACCAUGCAGCUAUGGAGGUACAUGUCAACCCGGGCGACGCCGAUAGGUAUGAAAGUCUUGUUGUGCAGCGUGUUCUUAGUACACAGGUCGCCCCAUCCGAGAAGAAUCAGCGACACACUCUUUUCCAUACCAAGGGCGUUGUGCAGGAGCGGUCGAUUCGCAUCAUCAUCGACAGCGGCAGCUGCAACAAUUUGGCGAGUACCACGCUGGUUGAAAAGUUGUCUUUACCCACUCGUAAGCAUCCACAUCCAUAUCACAUUCAAUGGCUUAAUGAUGGUGGGAAAAUUAGAAUUACUCGCUCAGUCCGUGUUCCUUUCUCCAUGGGUGCUUAUUCUGAUUUUGUCGAUUGUGAUGUUAUUCCCAUGGAAGCAUGCUCUCUGUUACUUGGGCGACCUUGGCAAUAUGAUACUGAUAGCUUGCAUCAUGGUCGUUCAAACCACUAUUCUUUCAUGUUUAAGGGUCAGAAAAUAAUUAUACAUCCAAUGACACCUGAACAAAUUCUUAAAGAUGAUCUUGCUAGAGCUGCUAAAACUGCUAAACAACUUGAACCAUCGACAUCUCUUAAUUCUGAAAUCAAGUUGAAUGCUCCUGUUUUGCUUGCCACACGUGCUGAUUUUGAUGAGUUACGCGAUGCUCCUUUGCCAUGCUAUGCCCUUAUAUGCUCUAGUGUGCUCGUUUCACUUGAUGAUGCACCAUCUUUGGAUAUUCCCCCUGCGGUUGCUAACAUUUUGCAGGAGUACGCUGAUGUCUUUCCAAAAGAUUUGCCACCGGGACUUCCACCACUUCGUGGCAUUGAGCACCAGAUCGACCUCAUUCCCGGCGCACAGCUUCCGAACCGCGCACCGUACCGUACAAAUCCGGAUGAGACGAAGGAAAUCCAGCGCCAGGUACAGGCAUUGCUUGACAAGGGUUAUAUUCGUGAGUCUCUUAGCCCUUGCUCCGUUCCUGUGUUACUUGUUCCAAAGAAAGAUGGCUCAUGGCGUAUGUGUGUAGACUGUCGUGCUAUUAAUAACAUUACCAUUCGCUACCGAUACCCUAUACCACGCCUUGAUGAUAUGCUAGAUGAGCUUAGUGGUGCCAUUAUUUUCACUAAGAUUGAUUUGCGUAGUGGCUACCAUCAGAUUCGCAUGAAAUUAGGUGAUGAAUGGAAAACGGCUUUUAAAACGAAAUUUGGGUUAUACGAAUGGUUGGUUAUGCCGUUUGGUUUGACAAAUGCUCCCAGCACAUUUAUGCGUUUGAUGAAUGAAGUUCUAAGGCCCUUCAUAGGAUUGUUUGUAGUUGUCUAUUUUGAUGAUAUCCUCAUUUACAGCAAGUCUAUGGAAGAGCAUUUAGAACAUUUGCGUGCUGUUUUUGAUGCAUUGCGUGCGGCCCAUUUAUUUGCUAACCUCGAAAAAUGCAUGUUUUGCACACAACGUGUCUCGUUUCUUGGCUAUGUUGUUACUCCACAGGGCAUUGAGGUGGAUAGCAGCAAGAUUGAUGCCAUUCGGGAGUGGCCUACACCGACAACGGUUACACAAAUUCGAAGCUUUCUUGGCCUUGCAGGUUUCUACCGUCGGUUUGUUCGUGAUUUUAGCUCCAUUGCAGCGCCUCUACAUGAGCUUACAAAGAAGGAUGUUCCCUUUGCUUGGAGUGAUUCACAAGAGGUUGCGUUCAGCACCUUGAAAGAUAAGUUAACCAAUGCUCCUCUCUUGCAGUUGCCUGAUUUUACUAAAGUGUUUGAGCUUGAAUGCGAUGCUAGCGGUAUUGGGCUAGGUGCUGUUUUAUUACAAGAAGGAAAACCGGUUGCUUACUUUAGCGAAAAAUUAAGUGGUGCUAGCUUGAAUUAUUCUACUUAUGAUAAGGAGCUUUAUGCUUUAGUGCGCACUUUGCAUACUUGGCAGCACUACCUUUGGCAUCGUGAGUUUAUAAUUCAUUCUGAUCAUGAGGCUUUAAAACAUAUUCGUACCCAAACAAACCUGAACCGUCGUCAUGCUAAAUGGGUAGAAUUCAUUGAGUCUUUCCCUUACAUUAUUAAACACAAGAGCGGGAAGGAAAAUGUCAUUGCUGAUGCUUUGUCUCGUCGCUAUACCAUGCUGUCACAGUUAGAUUUUAAAAUCUUUGGCUUGCAAACUGUGAAGGAUCAAUAUGUGCAUGAUGCUGAUUUUAAAGAUGCUUUCGGCCACUGUAUUCAUGGCAAACCAUGGGGCAAAUUUCACAUACAGGACGGGUUCCUGUUUCGCGCUAACAAGCUGUGUGUUCCAGCUAGCUCGGUUCGUCGUUUGUUGUUACAGGAAGCGCAUGGAGGCGGUCUCAUGGGGCACUUUGGCGUCUACAAGACGCAUGAAGUGCUGGCUGCCCACUUCUUUUGGCCCCGGAUGCGCGCUGAUGUUGAGCGCCUUGUUGCCCGCUGCCCUACUUGCCAGAAAGCUAAGUCACGAUUAAACAACCAUGGUUUGUACAUGCCUUUGCCUGUUCCUACUUCCCCUUGGCUUGAUAUUUCUAUGGACUUUGUUUUGGGAUUGCCUAGAACUAAGAAGGGGAGGGACAGUAUUUUUGUGGUUGUUGAUCGUUUCUCCAAAAUGGCUCAUUUUAUACCUUGUCAUAAGACUGAUGAUGCUAGCAAUGUUGCUGAAUUGUUCUUUCGCGAGAUUAUUCGUUUGCAUGGUAUUCCAAAUACAAUAGUCUCUGAUCGUGAUGCUAAGUUUCUCAGUCAUUUUUGGAGAUCACUAUGGAAUAAAAUGGGAACUAAAUUGCUGUUUAGCACCACUUGUCACCCUCAGACUGAUGGACAAACUGAGGUGGUUAAUCGAACCUUGUCCACUAUGCUUAGGGCUGUUUUAGAUAAACACUUGAAACGUUGGGAAGAUUGCUUGCCUCAUGUUGAGUUUGCUUAUAAUCAUGCAACGCAUUCUUCUACAAAGAUGUGUCCUUUUCAAGUUGUUUAUGGUUAUAUUCCUCGGGCGCCUAUUGAUUUGUUUGCACUUGAUGCCGAGGACACCCCACACAUAGAUGCCGCUGCACAUGUUGAUCAAAUGAUUAGCUUGCAUGAGCAAACUCAACAAAACAUUGCUGCUGCUAAUGCUAAAUAUCAGGUUGCGGGUAGUAAAGGGAGAAAACAUGUUACUUUUGCACCGGGUGAUCUGGUUUGGUUGCAUUUGAGGAAGGACCGUUUUCCUACCUUACGUCGUUCUAAAUUGAUGCCACGUGCGGCUGGUCCUUUUAAAGUGCUAACCAAGAUUAAUGAUAAUGCUUAUAUCCUUGACCUGCCUGCGGAGUUUGGUGUUUCCACGAGUUUUAAUGUUGCAGAUUUGAAACCGUAUGUGGGCGAAGAUGAGGAGUUGCCGUCGAGGACGACUUCAGUUCAAGAAGGGGAGGAUGAUGAGGACACCACGAGUACAUCUACACCAGCAGCACCUCAGGCGCCUCCAGUUGCUCCUCCAGUUGGGCCAAUCACUCGAGCCCGUGCGAGAGAAUUAAACUUCAUCAUGCUGUUAAGGAACGAAGGCCCAUCGGAAUAAGAAGAUGGCCCAACAGGGCAGCCCAGGUGGGGCGCCUAGGGUUGGGCGCCGUGACCCCUUCGGACUCCAGGGGCUGCGCCCCCUUUAUUUAGUCCGAGUCCUUUUUGUUUACGACUUGAGUUUUGUUUUACAUCUAGCUUUAGCUACUCUUGAACACGCGCAAAUACGCGCUGUCCUUGUGAUUCAGAACUCCACCUUCGAGUGAUAUUUAGAUUGCUCGCCUCUCUUUCUUGUUCGUUCUUCGAUUGCGGACAGGAAUCGAUCUUCGUGAUCAGGCUGAUCUCGCACCAGCGAGGUUGGUAACCAUCGGGAGUUGGUUCAGCGAUUGCAUUGGCGCUUCGGGUUCGCUCGUCGUAGUCGGAUCGUGAGGGUCUACUUCCACCAAGUCGAAUUUAUCUUCACUCACCGAAAGAUCGGGCACUCCGACUCUAUCAGAAGGUCCAUGAGAAGAAGCUGGAGGUCCUUGAGAUGUACUUGGAGGUGGAAGACAGAUAGCAUGAGAUCCAAUCUUUAGGAGCCUCUCAAGUUGGCCCUUCUUGGGCUUAUAGACGGGAUGAGUCUUAUCUAUCAAAAU
Molecule: long non-coding RNA, 7047 nt
Filed under: Setaria viridis
Lineage: Eukaryota; Viridiplantae; Streptophyta; Magnoliopsida; Poales; Poaceae
Description: long non-coding RNA (SVIR_LNC011172)
Source: RNAcentral